CCUACGGGAGGCAGCAGUGAGGAAUAUUGGUCAAUGGGCGUAAGCCUGAACCAGCCAAGUCGCGUGAAGGAUGAAGGUUCUAUGGAUCGUAAACCUCUUGUAUAAGGGAAUAAAGUGCGGGACGUGUCCCGUUUUGUAUGUACCUUAUGAAUAAGGAUCGGCUAACUCCGUGCCAGCAGCCGCGGUAAUACGGAGGAUCCGAGCGUUAUCCGGAUUUAUUGGGUUGAAAGGGUGCGUAGGCGGGCUGUUAAGUCAGCGGUGAAAGUUUGGGGCUCAACCAUAGAAUUGCCGUUGAAACUGGGAGGCUUGAGUACGUUUGAGGCAGGCGGAAUGCGUGGUGUAGCGGUGAAAUGCUUAGAUAUCACGCAGAACCCCGAGUGCGAAGGCAGCCUGCUAAGCCAUGACUGACGCUGAUGCACGAAAGCGUGGGGAUCAAACAGGAUUAGAUACCCCUGUAGUC
RNAcentral lists this ribosomal RNA (460 nucleotides) under uncultured bacterium. Its description in RNAcentral is "partial 16S ribosomal RNA". It matches the Rfam family "Bacterial small subunit ribosomal RNA", at positions 338 to 795 of the family's 1533-position model. The record is from RNAcentral.